GAGGCGUAGGGAAACCGAGUCUUAAUAGGGCGAAUUAGUCGCAAGGUGUAGACCCGAAACCGGGCGAUCUAUCCAUGGCCAGGGUGAAGGUGCGGUAACACGCGCUGGAGGCCCGAACCCACUUAUGUUGAAAAAUGAGGGGAUGAGCUGUGGAUCGGAGUGAAAGGCUAAUCAAGCCCGGAGAUAGCUGGUUCUCCUCGAAAGCUAUUUAGGUAGCGCCUCGCGUAUCACUCCAGGGGGUAGAGCACUGUUACGGCUAGGGGGCCAUCCCGGCUUACCAAACCGUUGCAAACUCCGAAUACCUGGAAGUGCAAUCGCGGGAGACAGACGGCGGGUGCUAACGUCCGUCGUCAAGAGGGAAACAACCCAGACCGCCAGCUAAGGUCCCUAAAUCAUGGCUCAGUGGGAAACGAUGUGGGAAGGCCUAGACAGCUAGGAGGUUGGCUUAGAAGCAGCCAUCCUUUAAAGAAAGCGUAAUAGCUCACUAGUCGAGUCGGCCCGCGCGGAAGAUUUAACGGGGCUUAAGCCAUGUACCGAAGCUGCGGAUGCGUGUUUACACGCAUGGUAGAGGAG
This 573-nucleotide ribosomal RNA is filed under the name Bacillus thuringiensis. RNAcentral's name for it is "partial 23S ribosomal RNA". It matches the Rfam family "Bacterial large subunit ribosomal RNA", at positions 663 to 1236 of the family's 2925-position model. Lineage: Bacteria; Bacillati; Bacillota; Bacilli; Caryophanales; Bacillaceae. The record is from RNAcentral.